UACCUGCAGCUCGAGUGGUAACCGCUAUUAUUGGGCCUAAAGCGUCCGUAGCCGGUUUGGUAAAUAUCUGGGUAAAUCGUGAGGCUUAACUUCACGAAUUUCGGAUAGACUGCCAGAUUUGGGAUCGGGGGAGGUCAGAGGUACUCCAGGGGUAGCGGUGAAAUGUUGUAAUCCUUGGAGGGCCACCGGUAGCGAAGGCGUCUGACUAGAACGAGUCCGACGGUGAGGGACGAAGCCCUGGGGCGCAAACCGGAUUAGAUACCCGGGUAGUCCAGGGUGUAAACAAUGUGGGCUUUGUAUUGGAGGUCCCACGUGGGCGUCCAGUGCAGAAGAGAAGUUGUUAAGCCCACCGCCUGGGAAGUACGGUCGCAAGGCUGAAACUUAAAGGAAUUGGCGGGGGAGCACAGCAACGGGAGGAGCGUGCGGUUU
Molecule: ribosomal RNA, 429 nt
Filed under: uncultured archaeon
Lineage: Archaea
Description: bacterial SSU rRNA
Rfam family: Archaeal small subunit ribosomal RNA
Source: RNAcentral